CCUACGGGCGGCAGCAGUGGGGAAUAUUGGACAAUGGGCGAAAGCCUGAUCCAGCCAUGCCGCGUGUGUGAAGAAGGCCUUCGGGUUGUAAAGCACUUUCAGUGGGGAAGAAAGCCUUGGGACUAAUACCCUCGAGGAAGGACAUCACCCACAGAAGAAGCACCGGCUAACUCCGUGCCAGCAGCCGCGGUAAUACGGAGGGUGCGAGCGUUAAUCGGAAUUACUGGGCGUAAAGCGCGCGUAGGCGGUCUGAUAAGCCGGUUGUGAAAGCCCCGGGCUCAACCUGGGAACGGCAUCCGGAACUGUCAGGCUAGAGUGCAGGAGAGGAAGGUAGAAUUCCCGGUGUAGCGGUGAAAUGCGUAGAGAUCGGGAGGAAUACCAGUGGCGAAGGCGGCCUUCUGGACUGACACUGACGCUGAGGUGCGAAAGCGUGGGUAGCAAACAGGAUUAGAUACCCUGGUAGUC
RNAcentral lists this ribosomal RNA (465 nucleotides) under Vreelandella stevensii. RNAcentral describes it as "partial 16S ribosomal RNA". It matches the Rfam family "Bacterial small subunit ribosomal RNA", at positions 338 to 795 of the family's 1533-position model. Lineage: Bacteria; Pseudomonadati; Pseudomonadota; Gammaproteobacteria; Oceanospirillales; Halomonadaceae. The record is from RNAcentral.